This 253-nucleotide ribosomal RNA is filed under the name uncultured bacterium. RNAcentral describes it as "partial 16S ribosomal RNA". It matches the Rfam family "Bacterial small subunit ribosomal RNA", at positions 524 to 776 of the family's 1533-position model. The record is from RNAcentral.
UACGUAGGGGGCAAGCGUUGUCCGGAAUCAUUGGGCGUAAAGAGCGUGUAGGCGGCCAGAAAAGUCCGCUGUGAAAACUCGAGGCUCAACUUCGAGCUGUCGGUGGAAACUUUCUGGCUAGAGUCCGGAAGAGGAGAAUGGAAUUCCUGGUGUAGCGGUGAAAUGCGCAGAGAUCAGGAAGAACACCCGUGGCGAAGGCGGUUCUCUGGGACGGUACUGACGCUGAGGAGCGAAAGCGUGGGGAGCGAACAGG